RNAcentral lists this ribosomal RNA (497 nucleotides) under uncultured bacterium. RNAcentral's name for it is "partial 16S ribosomal RNA". It matches the Rfam family "Bacterial small subunit ribosomal RNA", at positions 28 to 507 of the family's 1533-position model. The record is from RNAcentral.
GAUGAACGCUGGCGGCGUGACUAAUACAUGCAAGUCGAGCGAACGGACGAGAAGCUUGCUUCUCUAAUGUUAGCGGCGGACGGGUGAGUAACACGUGGAUAACCUACCUAUAAGACUGGGAUAACUUCGGGAAACCGGAGCUAAUACCGGAUAAUAUUUUGAACCGCAUGGUUCAAAAGUGAAAGACGGUCUUGCUGUCACUUAUAGAUGGAUCCGCGCUGCAUUAGCUAGUUGGUAAGGUAACGGCUUACCAAGGCAACGAUGCAUAGCCGACCUGAGAGGGUGAUCGGCCACACUGGAACUGAGACACGGUCCAGACUCCUACGGGAGGCAGCAGUAGGGAAUCUUCCGCAAUGGGCGAAAGCCUGACGGAGCAACGCCGCGUGAGUGAUGAAGGUCUUCGGAUCGUAAAACUCUGUUAUUAGGGAAGAACAUAUGUGUAAGUAACUGUGCACAUCUUGACGGUACCUAAUCAGAAAGCCACGGCUAACUACGUG